Neofelis nebulosa (Clouded leopard) is the source of this 1211-nucleotide long non-coding RNA. RefSeq lists it as uncharacterized. The transcript is spliced from 2 exons. The record is from RefSeq and is a predicted model, not a curated record. NCBI's taxonomy places the organism in Eukaryota, Metazoa, Chordata, Mammalia, Carnivora, Felidae.
AGCAUGAACAUACUGAAUCACAGAAUCAAGAAUCUCAUCAGUGAAAGAACCCCAAGAGACCAUCCAGUUCCAUUUAUAUUCAGACACAUAAUAAAAGCUUAUUCAUCACCUUUUCUGCCUGGUCUCGAACUACAGUGAAGAAGAUAGCCAAAGCUUGCCUUCAUGGAGCUUACAUUCUGGGAACAAUGAAAAAUGAACACGUAGACUGUGAUAGCACCACGAUACACAGAAACAACUUGUCGAGGUUGGCUAGAAUGCUAAAGGAAACCUGAUCUGAAGAGUGAGAAUUUGUGUUGAAACCUACAAGAUGGGACUGAGCCACACCAGCAAAGAGCUGGAUGAGGAGUGCUCACAGCAGGGGAAAUAGCAAUUGCAGAGUCAUGAAGAGGGGCUUAUUCAAGAAACAGAAAAAGGAUCAAUAUGGCUGGGGUGUUGUGUGAGGUCUGAGAGAAGUUUGCAGCUUCUACUAAGAGCAAAGAAAGCCAUUCAAUGAGUUUCAAGCAGGCUUAUGGCACUUCCAGGAAGCAGAGGCAUGGAUACCCUCAUUGCCCUCUCUCAACUUCUGCCUCCACCAUUCCAGCAGAACAAAGGCUGUUUCAGGCAAAACCAUGUACCCUGGUUGAAAUUGUCCCUGUACUCCUGAUUUAUUUAUGACCAUGAAUUCCCUCUAUACUUAACUAUAUAACUGAUACUAAGUUACAUAGCCUAAAUGAAGUUAAUUUCUUUAGUACUAUUCCCUAAACCCUAAAAGAGUUACUCUUUUAACAACAUGCCAUAUUUAGGACUCUUAAGGGUUCUGUUUUACUUAUUAGAGACACGAAAUAUAUGAAAAUACCACGUUAUUAAUUAUCUCUCUCAUGCCAAACACGUUAUUCAGUAAACUGCCCUUUCUCAGUUAAAACAAAAACAAAAACAAAAAACACUGUUAAUCUGGUUGAUGGGAAUGAUUUUUUGUUCCUAUUUUUCCUUCACUUCCCAGCAAAUAAACUAUCACCUAUUUAUGCUAUUUCUUCUUCCAAAAUAUAUCACAAAUCCCUCCUAGUCUUUUUAGUUCUUCUGCAACCAUGGUCCAAGCCAUAAUCUUCUCACAAAGAUUACUGCAAAUAGCCUCCAUGUGGUUCUCUGCUUCCAGCUUUGACUCGCUCACCCAUUCUCUACAAGUGGCCAAGGAAUCUUAAGAAACACAAAUUAAAAAACCAUGCAAAUCAGUA